Molecule: long non-coding RNA, 213 nt
Organism: Perca fluviatilis (European perch)
Lineage: Eukaryota; Metazoa; Chordata; Actinopteri; Perciformes; Percidae
Exons: 3
Source: RefSeq, a predicted model, not a curated record
GGCCAACCCGUUCUACCUCUGAGCCACAGCCACCUCCAAUUCGGGCAGACAGAGCCUGUCUUAAGAAAUUCCACCUCUAUCUGAGCACCAGUUAUUCCAAGUAGUAGUCACCAUGCAGUUCAGACAAGAUAUACAAUGCAAAGACAAUAUGGUGGAGAGACUUCUGACUCCCUGUUCAGCUACCUGAUGGAGCGAGUCAGGAACAACCUGAGC